CUAUAAUGGAUCAUGAUGGUCUAUUUGAUGAUGAGGAUUUCUUUAGCAAUCCAAUGGACUCUUUUUCCACCCUUCGGGAUAUUGAAGAUAUGGUGAUUUUUGGAACCAACUCCUCUCAAGAAGAUGGGACAACUAGGUAGGAAAGUGGUUUGGUAAACCCUAGUGAGGAGGUUGUUACUUUCAUUUGGCCUAAAGUUUCUCCAAGCAGGGACAAAGGCAAGGAAGUGUUGGUUGUUGGCGAUGCCUUUGGUGUACACUCCGGUGGUCCUCUUCUAUUGAUGUUUUUAUCACAUAGGAAAGCUAAGGUAACUGAAGAGAAUUUUCAAUAUAACUUAAUUGUUGCUAGUGUCUUGUGUAUAGCUAUGGAGGCUGGGAAAGAAGGUGACCUUGAUAUGAUUCGAGAAAAUUGUGAGGAGUUUGAGGAGGAGUAUAUAAAUGAGCUAUCAGACCUCAUGGCCUUAGACUAAUUCCAAAGUGGGUAUGAAGGGGUUCUUUGACAAGAAAGCUUAUCAAUUAGGUCUUGAACAUAUCCACAAAAGUGGUGGGCUACGGUCUUGAUGUUCUCAAUAGGGUGAUUUUGAUGGUGACAUGAAACUGAGCCCCGGUACUUACUGCAGUAAGAGAGUAUACAUCCACAAGCCGACCUAGUUGGGGUGGCGUGGAGAACUCGGUUGAGGUACCACCCUUUCAGGAGGUGCGUAGAGGACCUAAAAGGAGUGUAUGGUUGGGUUGUCUGGAGUCACCACACGGGUUCCCCAACGGCCAUCGCCAAGAGGUACAGGAUCCUAAGGUUGUUGAGCUUGAGACUAGUGGUGUACGGCCAGUUCUAGGAUGGAUCCACUAGUGCUGUUGUUUUGUGAAUUUUAUAUUUUUGAAAAGUAUUUAUUCCUUUUGUAUUGUUGUAUAAUAUUAAAUUGUAAAUUCUUAUAUGUUUUCAUUUAGUUAUCUUAUUUAAAAUUGAUUUUUGAGUGUUUUAAAAAUUGUUCGAGAUCAAUGUGGAAUUCAUGAGAUGGAAUUGGGUUGAUGCAUGCAAAGUGUUUGAUAUAAUGC
Long non-coding RNA from Dioscorea cayenensis subsp. rotundata (Guinea yam), 1050 nucleotides. RefSeq lists it as uncharacterized. The transcript is spliced from 3 exons. Lineage: Eukaryota; Viridiplantae; Streptophyta; Magnoliopsida; Dioscoreales; Dioscoreaceae. The record is from RefSeq and is a predicted model, not a curated record.